CCAUGCGUAGCCGCGUCCACACUAUGCAACUCUCAUAGCUUCCUCUAUGCCUGAGAGAGAGGUCAGCUCCUCCGCCGCUUCCUGUCUCCUCUCUUUCUAGAUCCAAAGGAUGUCAGACCUUGCUUUCUGGCCAUGGGCCUCAGCUGCUUCCGGUGGCGGCAUGGACAAGCCCGGCCAUAGGCAUCGACAUCCUUCUGGCAGCAUGAAAUCUGACUAGACCAUGGCGCGUUGGUGGAUGGGCUACUACCUAUUCGCAGGUCGAAUCGUGCUGGACAUGCUGGGGCAUCCUGCCGUGCUGGGAUCCACUGAGUGCCUCUACUUCGUGGAGCGGUAGCUGCUCCUCAUUGACGUCUACAUCUUGGAGCCUGGAGCGGCAGCUGCUUAGCUCGUCCAGUGCUUGACGGCUGAUUUACUUGCCCGCUUUGUACUGUAUGAUCUUUUUUCCUUUGUUCAGACACAGAGAUCCACCAACAAGGAUAUGUGAGAUCUGCAGCAGUUGGAACCGAUGACGAAGUCGGGUCCCAUUUUAAUUCGUGGGAGAAGAAGCUUCAGCUUGCCCCUUGUCACAAAAAUCAUUCAUAAGGCAGGUAGCAGUAGCAAGGCCUCCAACUGGAGUUAAUAUAGUGCUCAUCUCUUGAAACAAAGUUAAACUUCUGUCCAUUUCUAUGGCUGGUCCUUUUAUGCAUUAAGUGCCUGUGCUGCUGUGCCUACAUCUACUUUGAAUUUAAGCAGUUGGAAACUGAUUGGCAGCUGAAAAUUGUACUUAGAGGAGCCAAAUACUGAUAGCGAGGAUUUUAUAACUGCCAUAUAUUUGGACCUCAAUAUUUUUUUAUUUUUAUUCUUCUAAUGUAAUUGAAACCGAUGGUGUUCCUAGACUGAGGUCUUAUGUAAUUGAAAAUUAACUUGUCUAUAUGGGUUAUAUGUUUGUCUUUUUGUUGUAUGUGAUAUAAUAAUGGGCCAUAUGUUG
This is a long non-coding RNA of Sorghum bicolor (sorghum), 967 nucleotides long. RefSeq lists it as uncharacterized. The transcript is spliced from 3 exons. NCBI's taxonomy places the organism in Eukaryota, Viridiplantae, Streptophyta, Magnoliopsida, Poales, Poaceae. The record is from RefSeq and is a predicted model, not a curated record.